RNAcentral lists this ribosomal RNA (376 nucleotides) under uncultured bacterium. Its description in RNAcentral is "bacterial SSU rRNA". It matches the Rfam family "Bacterial small subunit ribosomal RNA", at positions 521 to 896 of the family's 1533-position model. The record is from RNAcentral.
UAAGACGAACCGUGCGAACGUUGUUCGGAAUCACUGGGCUUAAAGGGCGCGUAGGCGGGCAAUCAAGUCAGGGGUGAAAUCCUCCGGCUCAACCGGAGAACUGCCUUUGAUACUGGUCGUCUCGAGUGAGGUAGGGGCAUGCGGAACUGAUGGUGGAGCGGUGAAAUGUGUUGAUAUCAUCAGGAACUCCGGUGGCGAAAGCGGCGUGCUGGACCUCAACUGACGCUGAUGCGCGAAAGCUAGGGGAGCGAACGGGAUUAGAUACCCCGGUAGUCCUAGCCCUAAACGAUGAGAACUAGGUAGUAGACUUGACAUGGGUUUACUGCCGAAGCAAAAGUGCUAAGUUCUCCGCCUGGGGAGUAUGGUCGCAAGGCUG